This 78-nucleotide ribosomal RNA is filed under the name Cephaloziella aspericaulis. RNAcentral's name for it is "partial 5.8S ribosomal RNA". It matches the Rfam family "5.8S ribosomal RNA", at positions 76 to 153 of the family's 154-position model. Rfam says of the family: 5.8S ribosomal RNA (5.8S rRNA) is a component of the large subunit of the eukaryotic ribosome. It is transcribed by RNA polymerase I as part of the 45S precursor that also contains 18S and 28S rRNA. Lineage: Eukaryota; Viridiplantae; Streptophyta; Jungermanniopsida; Jungermanniales; Cephaloziellaceae. The record is from RNAcentral.
AGAAUUCCGCGAAUCAUCGAGUUUUUGAACGCAAGUUGCGCCCGAGGCUUGUGCCGAGGGCAUGCCUGCCUGAGCGUC